GUUUUAUAAAAGCACUGAAUGAUGAUGACGAGAACAUCAUUUUCCAAGUGCUUCCCAAGUGGAAGCCACUGUCAAGGAUCAGGAAGCAGCCUAUUCCCACCUUUUCAGCGAGGAGACUGCUCUUUGUGGGGAGACUGACCAGCGCACACCUCAGCUCUUUUGGUUCAUAACAUGAAUGGAGCAAGAGAGGGGAUCCUCAGCGCUGGAAACCACAGGAACGCUGGAAGCCACACGGCUCUGGGUGUGCUCCCUGCACCGCAACCUACCAUCGAGAUGAAAUAGAACGAGUGGCCCCACCCCUCGGAGCCUGGACUUCCCUCUGUGGACAUAAGAGGCCCUCUGUGACACGCGGUCAUUGCUCCAGACGUGUGAUGGCUCAUUAUGGGGUCAGGAUUGUAAAAAGAGGCAAUGCAGUGUUUGUCGCAGGCUCAAACGAGGGGUACCAGCAGGGAGAAGUCUGAGGAGACGCUCAGAGCGGUAAAGGCCUCAAGGCCCCGUGACGAAGAACUUCUGAAGGGUGACACGCUCAGUGUGGAGGAGACACGGUUCAGAGGACAAUAAAGCUGCCUUUACUUCAGAAGAGCUGUCACAUGGGAACCAGCACAGGCCUCUUCUGGGAGGCCCCGCAGCCUAGAACCACAGCUGGUAUGAGAAAUCAUAGGGAGAGAUUUCUGCUCAGAGGAAGAAGUCUCUGGCAGCCAGCAUCUUCCAAAGCCCUGUACAGCCUAUGAAACAUUUUCACACAGUGCCUCACCCACAACUCUGGGAGUGUUUACUGAACAGAUUCAAUGCUCCAGUCACUGUGACAAUCAGCUGGGAUGCCAAGAUGCAUAAUACACAGUCUUGCCUUCAAGGAGUUGCCGGUCAGGCUGGGAAAUACAGAAAUGUUCAAGAACGAAUCACAAAGUGUAUCAAUAGUGCAAAAAUAAAAAGGUAUAUCAUGGAGAUUGCUCAGAGAUCCGGGGUGAUUAAUUCAGGCAGAGGAGUGGGAUGGUUAGAGAAGUCUUCCUGGAGGAGGUGACAUCCUAAGUAGGUUUGGAAGAAAGACCUCUAGUUCACCAGGCAGGUGGUGCUGGGAAGGUCUGGGAGGGAGAAGAUGGAAUUUCAGGGAAAGAAAGGGACAUGCACUAAGGCACGGAGGUUUGGAACAGCAUGGUGUAUUGGGGGGCCUAGAAGUAAGGCAGUGGAGCUGGGAGUUGAGUAAGGACCAGGAGUGAUGAGAGAUGGGACUAAGAAGGUCAGAAGGG
RNAcentral lists this long non-coding RNA (1247 nucleotides) under Equus caballus (horse). Its description in RNAcentral is "lncRNA (ENSECAG00000032414.2)". Lineage: Eukaryota; Metazoa; Chordata; Mammalia; Perissodactyla; Equidae. The record is from RNAcentral.